AGGCACGUCUGUACCAUGACUAAUGCACCGGAUCCCAUCAGAACUCCACAGUUAAACGUGCUUGGGCGAGAGUAGUACUAGGAUGGGUGACCUCUUGGGAAGUCCUCUUGUUGUACCUC
This is a ribosomal RNA of Lupinus angustifolius (narrow-leaved blue lupine), 119 nucleotides long. The record is from Rfam. Lineage: Eukaryota; Viridiplantae; Streptophyta; Magnoliopsida; Fabales; Fabaceae.